RNAcentral lists this transfer RNA (72 nucleotides) under Pseudomonadota bacterium. Its description in RNAcentral is "Proteobacteria bacterium tRNA-His". It matches the Rfam family "tRNA". From Rfam's summary of the family: Transfer RNA (tRNA) molecules are approximately 80 nucleotides in length. Their secondary structure includes four short double-helical elements and three loops (D, anti-codon, and T loops). Further hydrogen bonds mediate the characteristic L-shaped molecular structure. tRNAs have two regions of fundamental functional importance: the anti-codon, which is responsible for specific mRNA codon recognition, and the 3' end, to which the tRNAs corresponding amino acid is attached (by aminoacyl-tRNA synthetases). tRNAs cope with the degeneracy of the genetic code in two manners: having more than one tRNA (with a specific anti-codon) for a particular amino acid; and 'wobble' base-pairing, i.e. permitting non-standard base-pairing at the 3rd anti-codon position. Lineage: Bacteria; Pseudomonadati; Pseudomonadota. The record is from RNAcentral.
GUGGCAUUAACUCAAUGGCAGAGUGACAUUUUGUGAAAAUGUUGGUUGUGGGUUCAACUCCCACAUGCCACC